AAUUGUCGGAUCGAAAUGCAAUGUGCGUUAUAAAUCGCAACUAAAAAAAAUAACCAGCUUCACGAGAUACUAAUACGUAAUCAAUAGAAUCAAAUCUAGAAUAUUGAUCGCAGUUUGUAAGUGACUAAACGAACGGAUAGUCUGAAAUGAAAAGAAAAUUACUGCAAGAUGGAACAAACGAUAAACUAACAAAAUAUCACUUGAUAAGUACAUUUUUUACUGUUGUUAUAUUUUUUCUGUUACCAUAAACAAUAGCAUAUUUUUCUACCAAAAGCUGAUCCGAAAACCAGUGUUCCUAAAUGCAAUUUCCUGUACGGAACUCGGCCGAAAACGCGAGAGCCUGCAGCUGGUGCGCCCGAUUGCACGGCCACCAAUAUCCAAGAAAAUCUGAAUAUCACAUCUUUUUCCCGCAAACGCACCCCUCGUUUUCACACGAGCCAUUUAUCCGAGAAGAGGGCGUGAAAGUAGCUAUAUCGCUCUUAAUUUCGUCCGGUACACAAAUAAAUAUGCAGUUUCGUCAACUGUGAGUCAAUGCGGCGCGCAGUAAACUUUCCGCUUCGCAAUUUCCCAUUUACGCACAGUUGCCCGUGUAUCAUGGCCUAUUGUACCGAAUGCAGUAACUUAAUGCAUCAUCUACGAGUUGAUGAUGCAGCACGGAUAAGUCUAAUUUGAGUUGCUCCACGUAACCAGUUCCACGAAGAAAACUUUGCAUGAGAUGGAGAUAAUAGUGGUACAUGUUAUUCCACGUAUAUUGCGUGUACGAGAUGUUAAGCGAAGUCUAUAACAACCUCCCGCGCAUUGCUAUGUAUCCGGAAGUCGAAAUACGACGAUUGUAUAGCCGAGAGUUUUCAAAAGAAAGAUUUUCUCUCCGCGAUUGCUUGAAAUUUCCCUUAAACAAGAAAUUCGAGAAUAAUUGUUCCGUUGUGUAUACUUGAACUUAGAAUUAAGAAUUAAAGAUUGAACGUAAUUCAGAAGCAUUUUUAUUAGAAACCAACGUUGUAUUCAUCCGACAUAUUACGUUCAUGUAAUUCGCAAUUCUUUUUUCUAAUUCUCCGCUUUUUCCAGUCAAUCGAUAUAAUCGAAUCUUGCUUUACACAUUAUG
Molecule: unclassified non-coding RNA, 1102 nt
Filed under: Bombus terrestris (buff-tailed bumblebee)
Lineage: Eukaryota; Metazoa; Arthropoda; Insecta; Hymenoptera; Apidae
Description: misc RNA ENSBTSG00005036793.1
Source: RNAcentral